This 492-nucleotide ribosomal RNA is filed under the name uncultured bacterium. RNAcentral's name for it is "partial 16S ribosomal RNA". It matches the Rfam family "Bacterial small subunit ribosomal RNA", at positions 29 to 507 of the family's 1533-position model. The record is from RNAcentral.
AGUGAACGCUGGCGGUAGGCCUAACACAUGCAAGUCGAACGGCAGCACAGUAAGAGCUUGCUCUUACGGGUGGCGAGUGGCGGACGGGUGAGGAAUACAUCGGAAUCUACUUUUUCGUGGGGGAUAACGUAGGGAAACUUACGCUAAUACCGCAUACGACCUACGGGUGAAAGCAGGGGAUCUUCGGACCUUGCGCGAUUGAAUGAGCCGAUGUCGGAUUAGCUAGUUGGCGGGGUAAAGGCUCGCCAAGGCGACGAUCCGUAGCUGGUCUGAGAGGAUGAUCAGCCACACUGGAACUGAGACACGGUCCAGACUCCUACGGGAGGCAGCAGUGGGGAAUAUUGGACAAUGGGCGCAAGCCUGAUCCAGCCAUACCGCGUGGGUGAAGAAGGCCUUCGGGUUGUAAAGCCCUUUUGUUGGGAAAGAAAAGCAGCAGGUUAAUACCCCGCUGUUCUGACGGUACCCAAAGAAUAAGCACCGGCUAACUUCGUG